AGGGCCAGAAGAGGAGCGUUAACCAGGUAAUUAUUUUGAGGAGAUCAAACUCCGGUGAUAAAUAAUGAGGGGGAUUAACGCCGAGAUAGCGCUAUUUUUGAUGAUAGCGAUAUCGGUUGACCGGGUUGAAUCCCGCCGACUGUCACCUGUUAGGUGGAGAGCUUCUGGCCUU
RNAcentral lists this non-coding RNA (172 nucleotides) under Thalassomonas actiniarum. RNAcentral's name for it is "Lysine sequence". It matches the Rfam family "Lysine riboswitch aptamer". From Rfam's summary of the family: Riboswitches are metabolite binding domains within certain messenger RNAs that serve as precision sensors for their corresponding targets. Allosteric rearrangement of mRNA structure is mediated by ligand binding, and this results in modulation of gene expression. This family includes riboswitches that sense lysine in a number of genes involved in lysine metabolism, including lysC. Lineage: Bacteria; Pseudomonadati; Pseudomonadota; Gammaproteobacteria; Alteromonadales; Colwelliaceae. The record is from Rfam by way of RNAcentral.